GUGAACGCUGGCGGUAGGCCUAACACAUGCAAGUCGAACGGCAGCACAGUAAGAGCUUGCUCUUACGGGUGGCGAGUGGCGGACGGGUGAGGAAUACAUCGGAAUCUACUUUUUCGUGGGGGAUAACGUAGGGAAACUUACGCUAAUACCGCAUACGACCUACGGGUGAAAGCAGGGGAUCUUCGGACCUUGCGCGAUUGAAUGAGCCGAUGUCGGAUUAGCUAGUUGGCGGGGUAAAGGCCCACCAAGGCGACGAUCCGUAGCUGGUCUGAGAGGAUGAUCAGCCACACUGGAACUGGGACACGGUCCAGACUCCUACGGGAGGCAGCAGUGGGGAAUAUUGGACAAUAGGCGCAAGCCUGAUCCAGCCAUACCGCGUGGGUGGAGGAGGCCUUCGGGUUGUAAAGCCCUUUUGUUGGGAAAGAAAAGCAGCAGGUUGAUACCCCGCUGUUCUGACGGUACCCAAAGAAUAAGCACCGGCUAACUUCGUG
Molecule: ribosomal RNA, 491 nt
Filed under: uncultured bacterium
Lineage: Bacteria
Description: partial 16S ribosomal RNA
Rfam family: Bacterial small subunit ribosomal RNA
Source: RNAcentral